Molecule: ribosomal RNA, 449 nt
Filed under: uncultured bacterium
Lineage: Bacteria
Description: bacterial SSU rRNA
Rfam family: Bacterial small subunit ribosomal RNA
Source: RNAcentral
UCGGGAAUUUUGGGCAAUGGGCGAAAGCCUGACCCAGCAACGCCGCGUGAAGGAUGAAGUAUUUCGGUAUGUAAACUUCGAAAGAAUAGGAAGAAUAAAUGACGGUACUAUUUAUAAGGUCCGGCUAACUACGUGCCAGCAGCCGCGGUAAUACGUAGGGACCAAGCGUUGUUCGGAUUUACUGGGCGUAAAGGGCGCGUAGGCGGCAAUUCAAGUCAUCUGUGAAAUCUCCGGGCUUAACUCGGAACGGUCAGAUGAUACUGCUUUGCUAGAGUGCAGAAGGGGCAAUCGGAAUUCUUGGUGUAGCGGUGAAAUGCGUAGAUAUCAAGAGGAACACCUGAGGUGAAGACGGGUUGCUGGGCUGUAACUGACACUGAGGCACGAAAGUGUGGGGGAUCGAAACAGGAUUAGAUACCCCAGUAGUCCCUGAGCGGGCUGGCAAGGCGCAU